UUCGAGAUGAGGACUCCCACCCACUUGAUGGGGUAAGGCUCCCAGUAGACGACUGGGUUGAUAGGCCGGAUCUGGAAGCACGGUAACGUGUGGAGGUGACCGGUACUAAUAGGCCGAGGGCUUGUCCAU
Molecule: ribosomal RNA, 129 nt
Filed under: Streptomyces sp. CA3
Lineage: Bacteria; Bacillati; Actinomycetota; Actinomycetes; Kitasatosporales; Streptomycetaceae
Also listed under: 2 other names
Description: partial 23S ribosomal RNA
Rfam family: Bacterial large subunit ribosomal RNA
Source: RNAcentral